RNAcentral lists this ribosomal RNA (709 nucleotides) under uncultured Bacilli bacterium. RNAcentral's name for it is "bacterial SSU rRNA". It matches the Rfam family "Bacterial small subunit ribosomal RNA", at positions 45 to 710 of the family's 1533-position model. The record is from RNAcentral. Lineage: Bacteria; Bacillati; Bacillota; Bacilli.
UGCCUAAUACAUGCAAGUCGAACGCGUUGGCCCAACUGAUUGAACGUGCUUGCACGGACUUGACGUUGGUUUACCAGCGAGUGGCGGACGGGUGAGUAACACGUAGGUAACCUGCCCCAAAGCGGGGGAUAACAUUUGGAAACAGAUGCUAAUACCGCAUAACAAUUUGAAUCGCAUGAUUCAAAUUUAAAAGAUGGCUUCGGCUAUCACUUUGGGAUGGACCUGCGGCGCAUUAGCUUGUUGGUAGGGUAACGGCCUACCAAGGCUGUGAUGCGUAGCCGAGUUGAGAGACUGAUCGGCCACAAUGGAACUGAGACACGGUCCAUACUCCUACGGGAGGCAGCAGUAGGGAAUCUUCCACAAUGGGCGCAAGCCUGAUGGAGCAACACCGCGUGAGUGAAGAAGGGUUUCGGCUCGUAAAGCUCUGUUGUUAGAGAAGAACGUGCGUGAGAGCAACUGUUCACGCAGUGACGGUAUCUAACCAGAAAGUCACGGCUAACUACGUGCCAGCAGCCGCGGUAAUACGUAGGUGGCAAGCGUUAUCCGGAUUUAUUGGGCGUAAAGCGAGCGCAGGCGGUUUGAUAAGUCUGAUGUGAAAGCCUUUGGCUUAACCAAAGAAGUGCAUCGGAAACUGUCAGACUUGAGUGCAGAAGAGGAUAGUGGAACUCCAUGUGUAGCGGUGGAAUGCGUAGAUAUAUGGAAGAACACC